This 425-nucleotide ribosomal RNA is filed under the name uncultured bacterium. RNAcentral describes it as "partial 16S ribosomal RNA". It matches the Rfam family "Bacterial small subunit ribosomal RNA", at positions 354 to 796 of the family's 1533-position model. The record is from RNAcentral.
GUAGGGAAUCUUGCGCAAUGGGCGAAAGCCUGACGCAGCCAUGCCGCGUGAAUGAUGAAGGUCUUAGGAUUGUAAAAUUCUUUCACCGGGGACGAUAAUGACGGUACCCGGAGAAGAAGCCCCGGCUAACUUCGUGCCAGCAGCCGCGGUAAUACGAAGGGGGCUAGCGUUGCUCGGAAUUACUAGGCGUAAAGGGAGCGUAGGCGGAUAGUUUAGUCAGAGGUGAAAGCCCAGGGCUCAACCUUGGAAUUGCCUUUGAUACUGGCUAGCUUGAGUAUGGAAGAGGUAUGUGGAACUCCGAGUGUAGAGGUGAAAUUCGUAGAUAUUCGGAAGAACACCAGUGGCGAAGGCGACUCACUGGCCCGUUACUGACGCUGAGGCGCGAAAGCGUGGGGAGCAAACAGGAUUAGAAACCCCAGUAGUCC